CUAGCUACAGGCUUAACACAUGCAAGUCGAGGGGCAGCAUGGUCUUAGCUUGCUAAGGCUGAUGGCGACCGGCGCACGGGUGAGUAACACGUAUCCAACCUGCCGUCUACUCUUGGCCAGCCUUCUGAAAGGAAGAUUAACCCAGGAUGGGAUCAUGAGUUCACAUGUCCGCAUGAUUAAAGGUAUUUUCCGGUAGACGAUGGGGAUGCGUUCCAUUAGAUAGUAGGCGGGGUAACGGCCCACCUAGUCAACGAUGGAUAGGGGUUCUGAGAGGAAGGUCCCCCACAUUGGAACUGAGACACGGUCCAAACUCCUACGGGAGGCAGCAGUGAGGAAUAUUGGUCAAUGGGCGAUGGCCUGAACCAGCCAAGUAGCGUGAAGGAUGACUGCCCUAUGGGUUGUAAACUUCUUUUAUAAAGGAAUAAAGUCGGGUAUGCAUACCCGUUUGCAUGUACUUUAUGGAUAAGGAUCGGCUAACUCCGUGCCAGCAGCCGCGGUAAUACGGAGGAUCCGAGCGUUAUCCGGAUUUAUUGGGUUUAAAGGGAGCGUAGAUGGAUGUUUAAGUCAGUUGUGAAAGUUUGCGGCUCAACCGUAAAAUUGCAGUUGAUACUGGAUGUCUUGAGUGCAGUUGAGGCAGGCGGAAUUCGUGGUGUAGCGGUGAAAUGCUUAGAUAUCACGAAGAACUCCGACUGCGAAGGCAGCCUGCUAAGCUGCAACUGAC
Molecule: ribosomal RNA, 721 nt
Filed under: uncultured Bacteroidales bacterium
Lineage: Bacteria; Pseudomonadati; Bacteroidota; Bacteroidia; Bacteroidales
Description: bacterial SSU rRNA
Rfam family: Bacterial small subunit ribosomal RNA
Source: RNAcentral